Molecule: RNA transcript, 1841 nt
Organism: Vespa crabro (European hornet)
Lineage: Eukaryota; Metazoa; Arthropoda; Insecta; Hymenoptera; Vespidae
Gene name: type-1 angiotensin II receptor-associated protein
Exons: 6
Source: RefSeq, a predicted model, not a curated record
ACAGAUGGCAGUAAACGUAAAAGGCGUUUACAUACGCAAUAUCUAAUACUGUGUAUAUCAUUAUGAAGUGUUAAUUUGAAAGGAAAGAGACAAAGCAGUAGAGUGACAGGUACGAAAGAACGUUGUAUUAUUGAACGGUCCAUAAGAAGAAAUAAGAAAGCAAUUGUUUCACGAGAAACACGUAGAUUUUAAUUGCAUAAAAAUGCCGAAUUUAUCUAGUAUAUCCAGCUAUCCAUUAAAGGUAAUUUUUGCGAUUCAUCUGGUUCUUGUAACAUGGGGUAUUCAAGGAUGUUGGUGCCCAAAAUCUGCAAUGAUGUACAAUUUACUAUUUUUCAUUUGCUUACUUUGGGCUGUGCAUAACAUUGAAUCAGAUGAACCAUUACAAUUUGCUCUCUUCAUAAACGUUUUAUCAAUAUUUUUUGACAUAGUGACUUUAUCUGUUUACUAUCCAAUCGGUCUAGCAUAUGCGUCUGAUAAGUUUAGUGCAGCGUUUAUGAUAAUAAACCUGGUCGUGCGUGUUGUCACGAGUAUAUAUCUAUUGCGGAUAGGACAAGCAAGAGGUGGAAGUCUUGCUACGAUGUUUACACCCUGUCCUGCCAUGGGUCAGUAGUCCAUAGGAUACAGAUGUGCCUUGUUAGCCUUGUAUUGCUUCUACAAUUUUCUGCUUUACGUAUAACUCGACAGGAUUACGAGGACAUAUCCCAUCCGAUACCUCAAAAUUCUGAUUUCGUUGGAAUUUAAAUUAUUUUGAUGGUAUAUGUUGUAAGAACUUAUAAUGUUCGAUCUUGGAUUUGUUUUUUUGUGGGCGGAUCAUUUAACAUAAGCUUAUAUGUACAAUGAUAUAAAUCUCACAUGAUAUAUUUUCAUUAUUUCUUAUAUUACAAAACAACGAACAAACAGAGACAUAAUUAAAUAUUAUCAAAGAUACGUACCAGUGUGAACAUAAUCGAUCAGAUUUUAAAUAGAACAAUAGUGCCAAUUUAUAUUUUAAUGAAUUAUACUUUCGAUCAAAUAUUUCGAUGUUUUAUAAAAUUUCGUUCUUUACGUCGAUCCGUUAAUAAUAACUAAUGUUGGCACAACAUACGUUUAUUGUUUCUUAUCGUAAUCAUUUGUUACGUGCAUGCAUAUGAUCUAACAUAAACAAGUAAUAUUGUUAAAUCGCGUUAAAUGUUUCUAUUAAUUAUAUAUGAAAUACUCCGUAAUUAUCACAUACUUAUGUAUAUAUGAUAAAUUAUAUAUAUACAAACAGAUUUAAUAUAUUAUAGAUCUAUUCUGUACGACUACUUUUAUCUGCAGUUUGCAAAUAAAAUUCUUUAUAACAAUGUAACAGAACGUUUAGAAAAAUUAUUUCUAUCUCGCAUGCUUAUCUAUGAAAAUGGAUGAAGAUAAAAGAAAAAAGAAAAAGAAAAAGAAAAAGAAAGUAAAGGUGGGGGAAUAUAAAAAAGAACAUACGUACGACGUACGUACAAUGUACACACAUGCAUAUAUACAUACAUACAUACAUAUAUGCAUAUAUAUAAUUCUACAUCAUACGAUAGAAAUUUUGAACGUGGCGCUAACCGAACGGUGGCGCCUAAGCGUCGGCCGCCAGAGGUCGCCAGGUUUGAGGUAUAAAAUCGCUGUCCGUGAAGCGGUUCCCUUCAGUAGUGUGCGUGACCGUACCGGGAGGAGGGUGGCUCCGCGCGCGGCCGCACCGCGAAACCGUGCCCACUCGCCUCGACCACGGACAUCCACGCUCGUUUUCUCGUAUUGUGAAAACAUGGCGGCCAGUGACGACGAGCCGAUGCAUCUCUACGAGGUCUUUCAAAAUUGCUUCAACAAGAUCGCCAACAAGCAACCCG